GAAUAUUGGACAAUGGGGGGAACCCUGAUCCAGCCAUGCCGCGUGGGUGAAGAAGGCCUGUUGGUUGUAAAGCACUUUAAGCGAGGAAGAGGCUACCUGGACUAAGACGUUAGGAUAGUGGACGUUACUCGCCGAAUAAGCACCGGCUACCGCGGUGCCACCAGCCGAUGUAAUACAGUGGGUGGGAGAGUUAAUCGGAUUUACUGGGCGUAAAGCGUGCGUAGGGGGCCAAUUAAGUCAAAUGUGAAAGCCCCGAGCUUAACUUGGGAAUUGCAUUCGAUACUGGUUGGCUAGAGUAUGGGAGAGGAUGGUAGAAUUCCAGGUGUAGCGGUGAAAUGCGUAGAGAUCUGGAGGAAUACCGAUGGCGAAGGCAGCCAUCUGGCCUAAUACUGACGCUGAGGUACGAAAGCAUGGGGAGCAAACAG
Molecule: ribosomal RNA, 425 nt
Filed under: uncultured bacterium
Lineage: Bacteria
Description: partial 16S ribosomal RNA
Rfam family: Bacterial small subunit ribosomal RNA
Source: RNAcentral